AUAGAGACUCAGAGCUGCAUAUCAAUAAGCGGAGGAAAAGAAACUAACAAGGAUUCCCUUAGUAACGGCGAGUGAAGCGGGAAGAGCUCAAAUUUGAAAUCUUCAAGGUUCUACCUUGACGAAUUGUAGUUUAUAGAAGUGUUUUCUGUUAGUGGAGUGGCAAAAGUUCUUUGGAAUAGGACAUCAUAGAGGGUGAGAAUCCCGUAUUUGGUCAUUCCUUCUAGCGUUGUGAUACACUUUCAAGAGUCGGAUUGUUUGGGAAUGCAGUCCAAAAUGGGUGGUAAAUUUCAUCUAAAGCUAAAUAUUGGCGAGAGACCGAUAGCGAACAAGUACCGUGAGGGAAAGAUGAAAAGAACUUUGAAAAGAGAGUUAAACAGUACGUGAAAUUGUCAAAAGGGAAGCGUUUGACACCAGUGUUGUUUUUCCGAAAAUCAAUUAAGAAUGUUUUAGUUUUUAAGAAGUUAUGACUUCAUCGGCUUGCUUCUCUCUUUAUGAAACUUUCUUAAUGCACUUUUCAGGUUAACAAGUCAACAUCAAUUUCUUUUGUUGUAAAAGGGUAUGAGGAAGGUGGCUUUCUCUUCGGCGCAAGUGUUUAUAGCCUUGUAGCUCUGCAAUCGGAGAGAUUGAGGUCUGCAGCGUAGAUCCUUCGGGGUUAGAUACAGUUGGUGCUAAGCUAUAGCCUUGUAUAGACAACUUGUUGACUAUGCUCUAGUCAUGUAGCUUACUCGCUUAUGCUAUUUUACCUACGCUUAGGAUGUUGACGAGACUGUCGAUCUC
Molecule: ribosomal RNA, 777 nt
Filed under: uncultured Neocallimastigales
Lineage: Eukaryota; Fungi; Neocallimastigomycota; Neocallimastigomycetes; Neocallimastigales
Description: partial large subunit ribosomal RNA
Rfam family: Eukaryotic large subunit ribosomal RNA
Source: RNAcentral